UUCUAGUAUGACCAUGAUUGUUAGUUAUACAUAAUUUCGCGUCUAGAUUCACUUUCAAUUUCAAAUAAUGUUGAACUCAUUCUACUGUUUUCAAUGAUCAGCAGUUGGUGAUGAAAAUGUAUAUUGACUCAGCACACGCACUUGAUAAGCAAUAUCAUGACAUGUCACAAUAAAAUAAUUCAACUUUCAUAUGUCGAGACAUCAAUCAGGAUUGCCAUUAACUUACUACAUGUUCAUUUUAUGCUUAUUCUUCAUGUUUCUUGGAUUGCCCCAUCAUUUUAGAUAUUUUAAAUUUUCGGUAUGGUAUUUAGUAUGGAAGAAUUGUUAGAGGAAGCAAAUCGAAAGAGAUUUUCUAUUCCCACUUGUUUUAAUUUUGGAGGUGUAGUUUGACUCAACUCUCUAAAUUUUUACGUUAGAGUUGUUUGAACUUUAACUGUUUAACUUUCUGGAUUUUUUUAUUUCCUAUGUCUUUGUUUUUUGGAACAGGGUUUAACUGUUGUAAAUGUAUCAGCGACAACAUUUUCACAGACAUUAGAUUGGCUGCACGGAUAUCUUCUUCAGAGCUGGGAUGAAGGAAUGAAAUAUUAUGGACGCGAUUAAGCAAGCUGCUUAACUUUUUGAGCUCCAAUGUCAGAAGUCGUAUCAAGGCAACGACUAGUGCAAAUGCUUGGGUGGAAUCUUGGAAAAUGGAUCAUCCACACAACAAAUUCACUGCAGACAAAACCAAAGUCUCAAUCUCCUGUUCUGCUGAUUCCCUGUUCCAAUUAGCACCUGCAGCAGCCCCUC
Molecule: long non-coding RNA, 786 nt
Organism: Hibiscus syriacus
Lineage: Eukaryota; Viridiplantae; Streptophyta; Magnoliopsida; Malvales; Malvaceae
Exons: 3
Source: RefSeq, a predicted model, not a curated record